This 464-nucleotide ribosomal RNA is filed under the name uncultured bacterium. RNAcentral's name for it is "partial 16S ribosomal RNA". It matches the Rfam family "Bacterial small subunit ribosomal RNA", at positions 338 to 795 of the family's 1533-position model. The record is from RNAcentral.
CCUACGGGGGGCUGCAGUAGGGAAUCUUCCACAAUGGGCGAAAGCCUGAUGGAGCAACGCCGCGUGGGUGAAGAAGGUCUUCGGAUCGUAAAACCCUGUUGUUAGAGAAGAAAGUGCGUGAGAGUAACUGUUCACGUUUCGACGGUAUCUAACCAGAAAGCCACGGCUAACUCCGUGCCAGCAGCCGCGGUAAUACGGAGGAUGCGAGCGUUAUCCGGAUUUAUUGGGGUUAAAGGGUGCGUAGGCGGACAGUCAAGUCAGCGGUAAAAAUGCGGUGCUCAACGCCGUACAGCCGUUGAAACUGGCAGUCUUGAGUGGGCGAGAGGUAUGCGGAAUGCGUGGUGUAGCGGUGAAAUGCAUAGAUAGCACGCAGAACUCCGAUUGCGAAGGCAGCAUACCGGCGCCCUACUGACGCUGAGGCACGAAAGCGUGGGUAUCGAACAGGAGUAGAUACCCUUGUAGUC